UCCUGUUCACAAGGACCCUCAACUGGCAAAGCUCCCAUCCUGCCCUGACCCUGCCAUGAGCACCAGUCUCCUCUGCUGGAUGGCCCUCUGUCUCCUGGGGGCAGAACUCGCAGAAGCUGGAGUUGCCCAGUCCCCCAGAUGUAAGAUUACAGAGAAAAGCCAGGCUGUGGCUUUUUGGUGUGAUCCUAUUUCUGGCCAUGCUACCCUUUACUGGUACCGGCAGAUCCUGGGACAGGGCCCAGAGCUUCUGGCUCAAUUUCAGGAUGAGAGUGUAGUAGAUGAUUCACAGUUGCCUAAGGAUCGAUUUUCUACAGAGAGGUUCAAAGGAAUAGACUCCACUCUUAAGAUCCAGCCUGCAGAGCUUGGGGACUCGGCCCUGUAUCUCUGUGCCAGCAGCUUAGCCACAGCGUUGCACAGACCUUCUCUCCUGUGCACAAAACUCCAGGGCUCUCUCCGCUCUACUCAGCUCACAUCAGCCUUUCGUUAUUUCUCAUCCUCCCAGGGAAGAACAAAGCACAAGUCCCCUGUGUCCUGGCGAGAGAGCACAUUUGUGCUGUUUCUGCCUACUGGCCACAAGGAGGCACUGUGGCUUUGUUGUCAUCACAGUCAAAUGGGGAGGGGCGAAGAUGGCUCCUUGGAAGAUUCUUAA
Nomascus leucogenys (northern white-cheeked gibbon) is the source of this 649-nucleotide non-coding RNA. The record is from the annotation of a RefSeq genome assembly. NCBI's taxonomy places the organism in Eukaryota, Metazoa, Chordata, Mammalia, Primates, Hylobatidae.